UACGUAGGGGGCAAGCGUUAUCCGGAAUUAUUGGGCGUAAAGAGUACGUAGGUGGCAACCUAAGCGCAGGGUUUAAGGCAAUGGCUCAACCAUUGUUCGCCCUGCGAACUGGGAUGCUUGAGUGCAGGAGAGGAAAGCGGAAUUCCUAGUGUAGCGGUGAAAUGCGUAGAUAUUAGGAGGAACACCAGUGGCGAAGGCGGCCUUCUGGACUGUAACUGACACUGAGGUACGGAAGCGUGGGGAGCAAACAGG
Molecule: ribosomal RNA, 252 nt
Filed under: uncultured bacterium
Lineage: Bacteria
Description: partial 16S ribosomal RNA
Rfam family: Bacterial small subunit ribosomal RNA
Source: RNAcentral